AAUAGAUACCCCCGGUAGUCCUGGCAGUAAACGGUGCACGUUUAGUACGGGGAGGAUUCGACCCCUUCCGUGCUGGAGCUAACGCGUUAAACGUGCCGCCUGGGGAGUACGGUCGCAAGAUUAAAACUCAAAGAAAUUGACGGGGGCCCGCACAAGCGGUGGAGUAUGUGGCUUAAUUCGAUGCAACGCGAAGAACCUUACCUGGCCUUGACAUGCAUUUCUAAGUUGGUGAAAGCCAGCGAGUGUAGCAAUACACAACUUGCACAGGUGCUGCAUGGCUGUCGUCAGCUCGUGUCGUGAGAUGUUGGGUCAAGUCCCGCAACGAGCGCAACCCCUGUGAUUAGUUGCCACCAACCCGUGAGGGGUUGAGCACUCUAAUCAGACUGCCCUGUGAAACGGGGAGGAAGGUGGGGAUGACGUCAAGUCAGGAUGGGCCCCUUACGGCCAGGGCUGCACACGUACUACAAUGCCCAGUACAGAAAGAACCGAGACCGCGAGGUGGAGGAAAUCACGAAAACUGGGCCCAAGUUCGGAUCGCAGG
RNAcentral lists this ribosomal RNA (541 nucleotides) under uncultured bacterium. RNAcentral's name for it is "bacterial SSU rRNA". It matches the Rfam family "Bacterial small subunit ribosomal RNA", at positions 777 to 1304 of the family's 1533-position model. The record is from RNAcentral.